RNAcentral lists this long non-coding RNA (5007 nucleotides) under Sus scrofa (pig). RNAcentral's name for it is "lncRNA (ENSSSCG00030068342.1)". Lineage: Eukaryota; Metazoa; Chordata; Mammalia; Artiodactyla; Suidae. The record is from RNAcentral.
UUUUUUUUUUUUUUUUGGUGUGGCUAUUUCACUGCUUUUCUAGUGAAAACCAGAUUUUCUAAUAAGAAAGAAAAGUGACAUUACAGCACACUUAAGUCUCUGGACUCAUCAUUGGCCUUAAAAAAAAAAAAAAAUAGGAGUUCCCAUCAUGGCUCAAGGGUAACAAAUCUGACUAGUAUCUUUGAGGUCGCAGGUUUAAUCUCUGGCCUCACUCAGUGGGUUAAGGAUCUGGCAUUGCUGUGGCUGUGGUGUAGGCCAGCAGCUACAGCGGAUUCAACCCCUAGUCUGGGAACUUCCAUAUGCCGUGGGUGAGGCUCUAAAGAAACCAAAAAUAAAUAAAUAAAUGAGUAAAUAAAAACCCCACAAUACUCAGAGACACAGAGGUUUCCAUAUACACUUUUUCCCACACAGCUUCCCCUCUUAGCAACACCCCCAACCAAAGUGGUAUAUUUGCUGUAAUUAAUAAACCUAUAUCUACACAUAAUAAUCAAUCCUGUUGCCCAAUCUAUGGCCUUGGACAAGGGUUUCACCUGGAGUAUUUUCACUGCUCUAACAAUUCUCUCUCUUUCACUGAUUCAUCUCUCCCUGCCUCCAUCCCAACCCCUGGCAACCACUGAUGGUUUUCUGUCUCUACACUUUUGCCUUUUCUGGAAUGUCAUAUAGUCAGAAUCAUACAGUGUAUAGCCUUUCCAGGUUGGCUUCUCUUACGUAGCCAGAUGCAUUCAGUUUUCCUCUGUGUCUUGUCAGGUCUCAGUUGUCUGGAUGGACCACAGUUUGUUCAUCCAUUCACCUGCUGAAGGACAUCUUGGUGGCUUCUAGGUUUUGGCAAUGAUGAAUAAAACUCCUAUAAACAUUCACGUAUAAGUUUUUUAUGUGGAAAUAAGUGUGCAAUUCAUUUGGGUAAACACCAAGGAGCAUGAUUGCUGUAUCAUAUGAUAAGAGUACCUCUAAUUUCGUAAGAGACUCCUGAACUGUCUCCUAAAGCGAUGGUGUGACUGCAGUCCCACCAGCAUGGAACGGGAGUUCCUGUAGCUCCAUGUCCUCGCCGGGGUUUGGUGACGUCAGUGUUCCAGAUUCUGGUCCUUCUAACAGGUGUGGACCCCUUAUUUUCAUUGGCAAUUCCUUAAUAUAUUUGCUGUGGAACAACUUUUCAUAUGCUUACUUGCCAUCUCUAUGUCUUCUUCUCGAGGUUCUUUUAAAGUCUUGGCCUUGUUUUUAAAUCUGGUUGUUAUCUUUCUUACUGCUAAUUUAUUUUUGGCUUUUUAGGGCCGCACUCACAGCAUAUGGAGGUUCCCAGGCUCGGGGUCAAUCAGAGCCACAGCUGCCAGCCUACACCACAGCCACAGCAACAGCAACACCAGAUCUGAGCUGUGUCUGCAACCUACACCACAGCUCACAACACCACCAGAUUCUUAAACUACUGAGAAAAGCCAGGGAAUGAACCUGCAUCCUCAUAGAUAAUAGUCAGAUUUGUUUUUGCUGAGACAUGGCAGGAACACCUUACUUCUGAUUUUUGAGUUCCUUGUAUAUUUUGGAUAACAAACCUUUAUCAGAUAUGUCUUUUGAAAAUAUUCUCCCUGUCUGUGGUUUGUCCUUUCAUUCUCUUGACAAUGUUUUAUGUAGGACAACAUUUUUUUAAAAAAAAUGAAGUGCAGCUUAUCAAUUAUUUCUUUUAAAGAUUUUGCUUUUAAUGUUGUAUCUAAGUAAUCGCAUUCCCCAGGUUCAUCUGGAUGUUUCCUAUGUUAUCUUCCAGGAGUUUCAGUGUUUUGUGGUUUACAUUUAGGACUGUGACUAAUUUGGGGUUAAUGUUUGUGAAAGAUGUAAGGCAUUUGAGUUAAUGUUUGCCAAAGAUGUAAGGUCUGCUUCCGGAGUAAUUUUCUUGCAUGUGGAUGUCCAGGUGUUUUAGAGCCAUUAGUUGAUAAAACACCACUGGCUUUUCAUGUUUUGGCAACUAUAUUUCUUAUAAAAAAAUCUAGUUGGUACAUCAGAAAAGAUUGACAUAAGUAGCCUUAGGUAAGCUUGAGUCAAAUUUAUUUUUCUGGAAAGAAGUAACAUUCGAAUUAGCUGGAUAUAAAACAUAAUUGUAGAGAGAGGCCCAUUUUGUCACCUCUACUUAUAUGUUUCUUUGUAAGGAUUUUUUUCAGGUAUAUAUACUAAUUUAGGAAAGAAGAAAACAAACAUGCAAUUCUUCAAACCCAUACUAUAAACAUGGAGACAUUCUUUUAAAUCGUUGACGUAUCAUAGCCAAAUGAUAUCUGUGAGCAUGGAAGGACUGACUCAUUAAUAAAACUACUAAGCCAUCUAUAAUAUUCUAGGGGUUCUGGGUACUGUAUAAAUCAGAAUAACCUUAAAAGUCAUAUAAACAUUGACACUUAGUUUUCUGAGAAAUAUUUGAGUGUGUUUCAUACCAAAGGAGUUGUGUUAUUUCGUUCUUAAUAAAGUUAAACUAAGUUCCGUCAUUGGAAACUACUCCUUAAUCACAGGAGACCCACAGUAAUGCUUGAAUUUGGUGAGAUUUAGGGAAACUAUUGGGCCUCUGUGGUCCUCCAUCCCCUCAUUUAGCUCGCAAAGAAUUUCAAUCUAGACAGUAACCUGUAAGGAUCCGUCAUUUUAUUUCACUCCCUGGGCUAAGCCUAUGCUGGCAUUUGGAAGAGGGACGAUAAAGGGUGACACUGUGUUUUUAAUGAAUAUAAACCUUGUAAUACAUUAAGAGAAAUGGAUCAUCCAUUUUGCAUUAAUUCCGAAUCUCAAAAGAAGGAUCUCCUAACUGGUAGCCAUGAGAGCAGGAACCUGAGGUGGGAGGAGGCGUGGGCUACAAGGAUGUGGAACCAUCCUUACCUAUUCGUGGGCGUACAUCUGACAUCUGAGAAAAGGGGGCUUUAGUCUCCCUGGUCCUGCCUGCUGAAAAAAUCAUUGGCCUCUCCACUCUCUUCCUACUUUCUCCACCUCAUUAUCUCAUCUCAAGUUCCCUCCCAUCCAUGUGCUCACUGCUUGCACCCGUUAGCGACUUUCCUUCUCCCAGUUUUGCCUCAACCUUACCCUCGAAGGCAGUUUUACUGUUGUCUUCCUGCUCCAACCACUAUGCAGAGUCCCUGCGUUACUCACCCCACACACCCAACGCUCAGGAUCCAGCCCCCGCGCACCUUAGCCGACUUGGCCAGCACCUCUUCUGGACCUUAGACCACUGAUGUGUUGAGAGCAGCCAGGAAGCUUUAGGGGAUGAGGAGGGACAUAAAGAGACAUAUCUCCUUCCAUAGGGGCGUCACAUUUCAUGUGGAGACAUUGCCAUAAAUACGUGACAGGUGGAGAAUUCGAGAGCAUUUGCCCGAGUACAGUUAUGAUUACUCACUUAUUUAUAGAAUCAGAUUGCAUUCCAUUUUUGACAUUGACUUUUUGGUCUUACUCAUGUGUUUGACAUUGACUGUCUCCCAGGGAAAUUAGGUGGAGUCAAUCAUGUCUGCUGGUAUAAUUGUAAAGCACACACAUUAAAGAAGCGAGUACAUGUGUACAAAGAAAUUCAUAUUUGCAUUAUGGGGUAGCCUUUUAAAAAUGGGUGUUUUGAUGUAAGAAGAUAAUUUUGAACUUAGUAAAAGGAAAUAUAUUUCUGGUUCUAUAUUCAUUUCCUGUGAAACCUUGAAUCACUCAAAAAACCUUUAUCUUUCUCUCUUUCUGAAAACUUAAAUGGGGAUAGAUAGUCUUAUUUUUAGCAUUUUUUUCCAAGUUGAAAGUUCUAUUAUUUUAAAAAUUGUAUGUUCGGGUUUCCUAGGAGAUCUAACUCAAGAUUAUGUUUCAGACCCAAAGAUUAUCAAGAAAGAAUUAAGAGGCAUUUAUACUAAAGAAAUGUAUUUUCUUUUGUCUACAUGGACUUCAAGGAAAAAAAUCAUCUAAAAAGAUGGUUUUAAACUUGGUUUUACAAGCUGACUUGAAAAUUAAAUCAUAAUACCACAUUUGUACAUGCUCAACCAUGUAAAGACUCUUGUUUCUUUAGUAACUUUUCAUUCUUUCUUCACAGUCUUGGGAAAAGCCAGUCUUCAUUUAUCUCUUGUUCUGCUCCAUGUUUUGCAUUUCCUGGUGACACAGGUUAUUUUGAAGCCCCUCAGAUAAACUUUUGUUGACUGAGUGAAUGCAAGCCAGUCUCCCAGUCACUUUCAGAAAUUCCAUUUUGUUUAUUUAUUAUUUGUUAUUGUUUUUUAUUUUAAAGGCUGCACCAGAGGCAAUAUGGAAGUUCCCAGACUAGGGGUCAAAUCGGAGGUGUAGCCGCUGGCCCACACCACAGCCACAGCAACGCCAGAUCCGAGCCGUGACUGUGACCUACACUUCACAACAAUGCUGGAUCCUUAACCCACUGAGCUGGGCCAGGGAUCGAACCCACAUCCUCAUGGAUACCAGUCAGGUUCGUUACUACUAAGCCACAAUCAAACUCCAGAAAUUCCAUCUUAAAUCACAGUUAGUCCAGGCCGGUCUUCUUUAAAAGGCAAGGUUUGGGGUAAAGGCGAGCUACUCUAUUGGGUUAAACAUCUCAGUGGUAACAAUUGGAAACUCUGGACAAAACUUUCGAAAAAGUUAUUUGAGUGCUUCUCACGCAACCCCAAAGAGCCAGAAACUGAAGGGCAUGUGACCCUCGGAAAGUGUCCUGGCUAAGAUCCGAAUUUAUACAUCUUCUUCCCAGAGGACACUCUCCAAAGCACAUGGGGUGCUUAUCAUGUUAGUUGUUUUCUGUAUAUAACUCGUACUUUUGCUUCUAUGCAUCUUAGGUCUUGCUUUUCCUCAGGAAUGUUCUUAUUCAUGCCACACUCUUCAGAUUACUGUCCCCCUUUCAAGCCCAGCUAAUGGUCUGGUUAUGAGUGAAACCUUUCUUGACCUUGCAUAACUUUCUUUUCUCUGAUUUCCUAAAGACCUUGAAGUAUGUGCCACUCAUUUGCUUCUAUGUACACACAAUUUCUUACUUGAUAAUUCUUCAAAACAAAAUAUCCCCGCCCUUACUAGACUGAAAUGCCUGUAUGUAUU